UGUAAACCAAUUGAUAUAUAUUUAAAUAUUACCUACUUGUUUACUUUGACAAUACGACAAUAGUUCGACCGUCUUUAACCUAUAUCUAUGUAAAGAGGACGUUAUUUGUUUUUUUUAUUUUAAAACAUUUAUUCGAAAUAAAUGUAAUGCAACCAGUAGUUACAAAAAAGGAAGCACUCUAUCGAUAACAGCGUUGAAUAGACAAAUAGAUAUUUCCGUAUAUUCAAUUAAAAGUGAGACAUUAGAAAAUCUUUAAAAGAAAUGGAUAUAGUGUACCAAUAUCGAGGAAUUGCGCAGAGAUGGAACUUAUUGUUUUUGUAUCAACUCGUUAUUCUCGUUGUAUGGAAAGACAUUUACACACCGACUUAAGAUUUUUAUUUAUUUACAUAUGAGAAGGUGAGUUUUUUUUAACACUUAUUCUUAAAUCUAAUGCUAUCUGCAGAAAGUUAAAAAAAUCAGUUUAAUGAUGACAAUGUUGACAGUAGAAAUCGAACAUUAGCUGUUAUUGCAUUUGAAUUUUAAUGCACCAUUCAUGAUCAACUAUGUAAAAAUGAAACAAAAAGCGUUUAUUCAUAUAUAAAACGACCGAUGAAUGAAAUAUCUCGUUUUUGUCAUUUGCUAACUUCAUCUUAUAACUGUCGCCAAAAUGUAUACCGAUAAGUACUUUUUUGUAACUGUUUUAGUCUCAAAACUGAUCAAAUAGUUCGUUUUAAUGUAUGCUAUCCAUAAUCUUAAUAUGUUCAAUUGUUAUCGUUGUGUCCUGUUAAAAUGACUUAUAUAAAUUAUAUAAAUUGACAAAUAAAAGAAGGUCAACAAGUCUGUGUGCACUCAGUCAUUCCCCUUAUAUAAGACUGAGGCGUAACAACACACAUUAAGAAUCAAUUGAAAAUCUUUCGAAUCAUUACAUUGUAUUUUUCCAUUUUUCCAUUUUUCCAUUUUGUCUUAAUAUAGUAUAUUUUUGUCGUCUUAAAUAAUUUGUCUGCAGACUUAAACGGUUAAAAGCAAGUUUAGAUUGUAGUAUGGUAAAUGUUUAAUGAUCAAAGACCGUAUUUAGACAUCGAUGAUUCUAUUCCUUGUAAAUUUGAAUUGUUGUAAUUUUUUAAAAUUUAAUGAUCAUAUCCUUUUUUUAAAUUUUUCUUUCAAAAAAUGUCAAAAUUGAAAAGAGAGGCAAAAUAUACCAAAGGGAUAUUCAAACUCAUAUGUCGAAAAUAAACUAAUACGCCAAGGAAAGAAAAAGAAAAGGACUAAAAGAUAAACAACAGUGGACAAAACACAACAUUGUAAACUAAAGUCGGGGCGACACGAUCCCAACCGAUAACCGGGGAUGAUCUCAUGUGCACCGGAAGGAUGCAGAACCUGCUUCAUCUGUGGCACCCGUCGUGUUGCUCAUGUAAGAACAAAUCCUUGUUACUUGUCUUGAAUUUGCCAGAUAGAGAGGCCGCUUUUCCUUCUUUUAAAGGAAAUGUGCUUUUGCCAUGCUAUGUAAUGAUCAUGAGAAAUUAAUGAAUUCGUUCGCAGUGUUUACUACAAAAUCGACGGUUUGUAUCUCUAAUAAAUUAAAAUUCGAAUCGAGUAUUUUGAUAUGUAAGUAAGUGAUAUCGUUGUCAUUUUAAAGUUAUGAAGAAGACAUAUAUACAUUUUGUACAUGUCCUUGCACAUAUAAUUUGCAAAUCAAUUGAUAAAUAUAAAUAUUACCUAUUUGUUAACCUUAUCCGCUUUAUUUGUUUUUUUAUUUUAAAACUUUUAUGCGAAAUACAUGUAAGGCAACCAGAAGUAAGAAGAAAGGAAGUACUCUACCGAUACCAACUUUGACAAGACAAAUCAUUAUACCCGUAUAAUCCACAUAGGGGUCAUACCACUACGCGAGUAAACAGUUUCACAGUAUUUCUGAAGACCUUCUGUCACUGCGGAUAUGUUUUUUGUCAAUCUAAUGGACAAUUCCCUUGUAGAACAUGCAGAUGAGCCGACAAUGUACCGUUGUUUGUACGGAAUUUUGUGAAGCUCAGGUAUCCAAUACAAACAAGAUUCAGUCCAAAAAGGAAAUAUUUUGAAAAAACAUGAGUAUAUUGGACCAAAUUGGAGAAUAUCGGGGAAUUGCGCAGAAAUGGAGCUUACUGUUUAUGUAUCGAGUCUUUAUUCUCGUAUCUUGGAAUGAUAUUACCACAUCUACUAGGAAUUCAGCAUCUCUUAUAUUUCUUUUAUUACUUGUACAAAAAACAGAUACAUUGAAAUGUGCUUACAUUGACAUUUUUUGUUUGAUGUUUAUAAUUUUAUAAUGGCCAUUUACAAGUCCGAAAUAUUU
Molecule: long non-coding RNA, 2302 nt
Organism: Mytilus californianus (California mussel)
Lineage: Eukaryota; Metazoa; Mollusca; Bivalvia; Mytilida; Mytilidae
Exons: 7
Source: RefSeq, a predicted model, not a curated record